CGCCUACAUUAAUUAGCACCCAGAAGGAAGAGUCCUUUUGGGCUACUCCUCUUAAAACUCUUACCUAAUUCCCAUGGUUUCUCUUUAAUGGGAUGCACCUUGAUUUGUGUGUGUUGGAGUGGAAGAGUCCUUCUGCUUGAAGGCUCUUCCAUGCCCAACUAUAUCACAUGAUGAAUUAAAUCACCGCGUAUGGAAAUGUAGCG
RNAcentral lists this long non-coding RNA (203 nucleotides) under Elaeis guineensis (African oil palm). Its description in RNAcentral is "long non-coding RNA (EGUI_LNC022904)". The record is from RNAcentral. Lineage: Eukaryota; Viridiplantae; Streptophyta; Magnoliopsida; Arecales; Arecaceae.